UAACAUGAUGCCAACACUUUACCAACUG
This 28-nucleotide non-coding RNA is filed under the name Mus musculus (house mouse). The record is from RNAcentral. Lineage: Eukaryota; Metazoa; Chordata; Mammalia; Rodentia; Muridae.